RNAcentral lists this ribosomal RNA (441 nucleotides) under uncultured bacterium. RNAcentral's name for it is "partial 16S ribosomal RNA". It matches the Rfam family "Bacterial small subunit ribosomal RNA", at positions 338 to 795 of the family's 1533-position model. The record is from RNAcentral.
CCUACGGGUGGCAGCAGUGGGGAAUAUUGCACAAUGGGGGAAACCCUGAUGCAGCGACGCCGCGUGAGCGAGGAAGUAUUUCGGUAUGUAAAGCCCUAUCAGCAGGGACGAAAAAAGACGGUACCUGACUAAGAAGCCCCGGCUAACUACGUGCCAGCAGCCGCGGUAAUACGUAGGGGGCAAGCGUUAUCCGGAUUUACUGGGUGUAAAGGGAGCGCAGACGGCAAGGCAAGCCAGAAGUGAAAGGCCAGGGCUCAACCCCGUAACUGCUUUUGGAACUGCGGGGCUGGAGUGCAGGAGGGGUAGGUGGAAUUCCUGGUGUAGCGGUGAAAUGCGUAGAUAUUAGGAGGAACACCAGUGGCGAAGGCGGCCUACUGGACUGUAACUGACGUUGAGGCUCGAAAGCGUGGGGAGCAAACAGGAUUAGAUACCCGUGUAGUC